RNAcentral lists this long non-coding RNA (1617 nucleotides) under Linum usitatissimum (flax). Its description in RNAcentral is "long non-coding RNA (LUSI_LNC005373)". The record is from RNAcentral. Lineage: Eukaryota; Viridiplantae; Streptophyta; Magnoliopsida; Malpighiales; Linaceae.
CGUGUUGCCGUUAGCCCUUCUUUUCAACUUUCCCACUUUUCAUUGUUGUUGAAUCUACUGCAUACAAACCCAUAUCAUCUUCUCUUUUUUAGUAUGCUGAUUCAGUUAUUGGUGAUCUUUCCGUCGAUGAUCCGUCGAUGGAGCUCCUUCUAUAUAUCCACCAUGUUUGGCUGCUCGGCGACCCAUCCGGGCCGGCCAACUGCUUUGCCGUCGGGACACUAUGGACCGACGCAUAGGUGAGCUGCGUGAAUCCACCCAACACUGCUCCUCCGGCUAUUUAACCCGCCAUCGUCUAUGCAUUCACUGACCGCCUUUUUUGUUUACUUUCGUAUCGAGCGUGCGGAUACAGGGCGAUUCACACUAGACAUUCGUUGGUGGUUUGGAGAAGUGCGUCACUGUCGGCUGCGUGUACAAGGUCUCUGGUUUCCCGUUUGGGCUCCCCAUCCUUACUAUCGGACAUGUCAGUCUGCUCAUUGGAUUUCUCGUACAGGAAUGGCGGAGUUACGAACUCCUGGAAACACCGCACCCCAUUCCAAUCGGAAGCGUUUUAAUUGAUUUCGUUCUCGAAGCUGUGCUCCUUCAUUCGUCUGUCACCCUUUUUGGCAAGUGUUCCAUCUAUUCUUUUGCUCUUUUUUUACUCUCCCCUUUACUGGAUCCCCGCUGGCGAUGUGGAGAUGAUGAGGAGUUCUGAUUAACUCCAAUUACUAUUUCACCUGGUGUCAUCGUCGACAUUUUGUAGUCGGGGUUGUUUUUGCUUUUGAUCUCACGUUAACUUGGUUGCAUAUGUAAUUUCACAUAUGAGUCAAGCUACAUAUCAUCAUCCACUUGCAGAAUUAAUUUAAGUUUGUUGCAGUUUCAUGAUUUGAUCUGCAAUUUGGUUACUUAUGCAUAGACACAAUAUGUGUGUUCCAUGAGGAGUUCUCCAUUACUAUUGUCAGAGUAUGUUUCUUGAGCUGCUUGGUUCAACUAAUCAUCUUAUUGAAUUUUUUGUUUCAGUUACUCUGAAAAUUGCAAAACCAUAAAAACCUAUUGACAGUAAAAGAUGCUCACCUGGACCGUGUUCUUUCAGGUUACCUCUUUAUUUGGCAAGCUCCACGAGCUCUGUUCAUCAGAUGUUGUAGUCUCAGAGUCAUAAAAUAUUUUCUCUCUAGCAUAAUGCUAAAACACGCAUAUUGGUCUUGAAGGUUGCUUACCUUGAAUUGCAGCAACACAGACACGUAGGUAGUCUUUUAUUCUUAUUUUGAAUCCAGUUAUUUGGUUUAGGCAUGACAUGAAAGUUUGCUCACCUGAAUAGGUGUUUAAAUUGACAGAAAUUUGCUGUGUUGAGGAUGCGAUAAUCCCUACAUUGAAGUUUAUUGUUUGUUUUUUUGCAUGGGUAAGAUAAAUCAAAUGCUCUUUUAUGAUAUCCAUACUUCAUACAAACUCCUUAAUUAGUAAACAUAAUCAUAGUAAAAUAUUUCAUGUACCGAUUCAACCCAUAUAGUGAUACCCGUCGGGUACUAAAUCCCUUUUUAUGUACUUAUUGUAUAAGUCUUUGUUGUUGUACCUUAUCUACAUAUAUCGAUUCUAUUUAUGUAAUGACAUAUACAAUAUGAUAAGUACAUUUUUUAUGCUUCC